Molecule: long non-coding RNA, 862 nt
Filed under: Setaria italica (foxtail millet)
Lineage: Eukaryota; Viridiplantae; Streptophyta; Magnoliopsida; Poales; Poaceae
Description: long non-coding RNA (SITA_LNC003031)
Source: RNAcentral
AGACCGAGUCUAUCAGCCCUGGGUACCCACUGUUCCGCUCCGCUCUCCAAUCACCAGAAGAGACGGAUCGGCGGAUCCCAUUCGAUCUCCGCCCUCACCCUGCACGCGCCGCCGCGCCCUCCCGCUCCCUCCACGCGUGCCCGGCGGCGCCCUACGAGCGUGGGCCGCCACCCUGUACCCGGCCACCGCCCACACCUCGAAAUGAGCCGGUGUUCCCAGAUCUCGGCGACAUCGAGGAGCACCGCUGACUCCGCACCCACGCCGACGCCAUUCGACACAUCGGGAGGGACCCGUCUGCGCCAAGCAUGCUGCGCGUGCUGGCCGUGAAGCUGGGCAACCGCCUGAAGAAGGUGGCCGCGAAGAUGAUCAGCGGCAAAUGCUCCGAGGUACGCUUCAAGAAGCGAAGCGCGAGCAUCAGCACCCACGUCAGGCAAGUGCACAGGAAGCACUACAUCCCUCUAAUGUAGCGGUAGGGGUUUGGUUCAUCUGUUGAUAUCACUGCUUAGCAAGUUUAGCUGUCCUGUGUGCAACUUGUUUGUUCGCAAAAGAAUGCAGACUUAUGGAUGCUCGGUCCAUUGCCGUGAUUGCUAUGCUAUCUGAAUCCUCCUUGCCAUGUUCUCUAAGUUUGGCGUUGUUUACUAUACAAACCAGGUGAAAACGUAUAAACGUUUCAGUUAGUUUUCUGAUGCACUCUAUUUCCGUUUUGUUAAUUCAGUUGUCCUCUGUUUCAAUCAGUUCUCUGAUGUGCCCCGCGGAGCUAUUGGUUCCACAUCCCGAACCAGCGGCCCAGCUGAUGAGGACCUUCAUGCCUCCUGCCGCUACUGGUGCUGCGGCGCGCACCCACGGCAUUCCUAAUUUCCAG